This 251-nucleotide ribosomal RNA is filed under the name Staphylococcus aureus. RNAcentral describes it as "partial 16S ribosomal RNA". It matches the Rfam family "Bacterial small subunit ribosomal RNA", at positions 1237 to 1486 of the family's 1533-position model. The record is from RNAcentral. Lineage: Bacteria; Bacillati; Bacillota; Bacilli; Caryophanales; Staphylococcaceae.
AUACAAAGGGCAGCGAAACCGGGAUUUCAAGCAAAUCCCAUGAAGUUGUUCUAAUUUCGGAUUGUAGUCUGGACGGCGGCGACAGGAAGCUGGAAGCGCUAGCAAUCGAAGAGCAACAAGCUAGUAAAAAAACAUUCCGGGGUCGUGUACACAGCGCCCAUAGCUCCACGAGAGGUUGGAACACCCGAGGCCGGUGGAGUAACCUUUUAGGAGCGAGCCGUCGAAGGUGGGAAAAGUGAUUGGGGUGAAGU